UACGUAGGGGGCGAGCGUUGUCCGGAUUUAUUGGGCGUAAAGAGCGUGUAGGCGGUUCGGUAAGUCUGUCGUGAAAUCCUGAGGCUCAACCUCGGGCGUGCGAUGGAUACUGCCGGGCUAGAGGAUGGUAGAGGCGAGUGGAAUUCCCGGUGUAGCGGUGAAAUGCGCAGAUAUCGGGAGGAACACCGAUGGCGAAGGCAGCUCGCUGGGACGGUACUGACACUGAGGCGCGAAAGCGUGGGGAGCGAACAGG
This 253-nucleotide ribosomal RNA is filed under the name uncultured bacterium. Its description in RNAcentral is "partial 16S ribosomal RNA". It matches the Rfam family "Bacterial small subunit ribosomal RNA", at positions 524 to 776 of the family's 1533-position model. The record is from RNAcentral.